GGAAGAGAGAGAAAGAGAGAGAAGAGAGAGAAAGAGAGAGAGGAGAGAGAAAGAGAGAGAGAGAGAGCCACCGCCGGCCACCGGAUUUUGCCACUGUUCCGGCCGAGUUACUGUACACGCGCCGGACAGAAAGCUUGCCCACCUCAUUUCCGGCAAAACCUCCAAAUUUCACGGCGAACGGCCGCCGGACGCGCCCGGAUCGGACGUCCGAAGUUUGGCGGCGAUUUUUCCCCUCCACCGCCGGCCACCGCGAAUCGGCACUAUUCCGGCCGAUAUACAGUGCACGCGCCAUACACCCAGCAUCCUCUCCUCAAGUCCGGCCUACCCACCAAAAAUCACGGCCAUCGGACCACCGACGCGCCGGGAUCGGAGCGUUUUCCGGCGAGGGGUCGAAAAUCUUCAAACGGUGAUAUCUCCGCCGUCCGACCUCCGUUUUGCUCACCGUCGGUCCCGUUGGAUUGCUCUCCUCACGAUCUACAAAUCUGCAAAAUUUCACAGCAAACGGCCACCGUCGGAAAUUACUGUUCCGGCGACGGUUGCCGGUGACGUGGCGGCCCGCCGGAAAUUACUGUUCCGGCGAGUACCCCGAAAAUUCCGGCCAGCUCCAGUCCGCAGUGUUCGACCUCCUGAACCCAAAUCCGACUUCCGUUUCCACCAAUUCGCGACGGUUUGGGAGAAUUGCGGAGCCGAAACCCGAAAAGCUUCCCGACGAAAUUCAAACCCCAUCGGGUACGAUCAUCGGAAAUUAAGACCGGAUCUGUGAUUAGCAUCACUCGAGCUUCGAUUCGGAGCACCGGUGAGUCGUAGAAUUGAUCCCGUAGUGGAUCAUGGGUUAAUUGCGUGCUCCAGUAGCAUCCGAAAGUGUAAUAUACAACUUUGGAACUCUUCUGCUUGAUCUUCUGAGUGGAAAACAUAUUCCUCCUAGUCAUUGCUAGAUUUUGCUAGCUGUAGUAAAACAACUUGUGACUUCGGGCUUUGCUCCUGCUGACUCAUAAAAGGCACUGACAGCGAUAGACACGGCUGCCUCAGAAAUUCAAGAUGUUUCAAAUGAUAACAAUGAUGCAUUGCCUGCGGAUGAAGAACUUAAAGAUAAAAUCACAGAUAAACCUUCCAAGGUCCUGUAAAUUUCAUUUGUCUCCAUUUUGUUGAACCUAGUAGGAGGUCACUAUCUAUGGUUAUUUCAACUGUUUCAAUUCACAUCUUCGGCGAUGUACCUUCCUCACCUGCUGCUGGAGUUCUCCAGAUAUAGAAAUCAUGGGAAGUGUCACCGAAAUUUAAAAUGCAUACUAAUUAAGGUUUCAUGAAGACAUUAUAGUUAAGCUUGAUAUAUGGGUGUAAUGUAAGAUUUUUUUUAGGAUUUUUCGAUGGAAAAAUUAUUUUAGGAUAGUUGUUCAAGAAGUGUCAGUAUUUUAUAUUUUUAUUUU
This is a long non-coding RNA of Ziziphus jujuba (common jujube), 1424 nucleotides long. RefSeq lists it as uncharacterized. NCBI's taxonomy places the organism in Eukaryota, Viridiplantae, Streptophyta, Magnoliopsida, Rosales, Rhamnaceae. The transcript is spliced from 7 exons. The record is from RefSeq and is a predicted model, not a curated record.